This 549-nucleotide ribosomal RNA is filed under the name uncultured Glomeromycotina. Its description in RNAcentral is "SSU rRNA". It matches the Rfam family "Eukaryotic small subunit ribosomal RNA", at positions 548 to 1098 of the family's 1831-position model. Lineage: Eukaryota; Fungi; Glomeromycota. The record is from RNAcentral.
UUGGAGGGCAAGUCUGGUGCCAGCAGCCGCGGUAAUUCCAGCUCCAAUAGCGUAUAUUAAAGUUGUUGCAGUUAAAAAGCUCGUAGUUGAAUUUCGGGAUCAAUAUAUCGGUCGUGCCUUUGGUACGUACUGGUAUCAUUGAUUUCUCCUUUCUGACGAAUCAUGAUGUCGUUAAUUUGGUGUUAUGAGGAGUUAGGACUGUUACUUUGAAAAAAUUAGAGUGUUUAAAGCAAGCAUUAGCUUGAAUACAUUAGCAUGGAAUAAUGAAAUAGGACGUUUGACCCUAUUUUGUUGGUUUUUAGGAUCGACGUAAUGAUUAAUAGGGAUAGUUGGGGGCAUUAGUAUUCAAUUGUCAGAGGUGAAAUUCUUGGAUUUAUUGAAGACUAACUACUGCGAAAGCAUUUGCCAAGGAUGUUUUCAUUAAUCAAGAACGAAAGUUAGGGGAUCGAAGACGAUCAGAUACCGUCGUAGUCUUAACCAUAAACUAUGCCGACUAGGGAUCGGAUGAUGUUAAUUUUAUAAUGACUCAUUCGGCGCCUUACGGGAAAC